GGGCGUCGGAAAGCGGCCUUCUGGGACUCCGCAAACUCCCGUUCUCCCUCCCCCCUCCCCCUUGCCAUUCCCUUUGCCUUCCGGGCGCCAAGUCUCUCUGGCCUCCAAGGUGAACCCAACUCCCCAGCGCGCCCCGGGUUCCCGGGUCGGGCCGGCUUCAGGCGGUGGGGAGCGGGAUCCCGGGCCCCGGGCGGGCGGGAGGGACGGGACGCGGUGCAGUGUUGUUUUUUCCCCCGCCAAUAUUGCACUCGUCCCGGCCUCCGGCCCCCCCGGCCCCCCGGCCUCCCCGCUACCCCUAGCGGGGCAGCCCCCGCCCUCCUGGCUCUCCAUCCCGGCGGAUCUUUGAUAGACUGGAGUGUCGCCGCUGCCACCGUGAACGGGAAAAUGGGUCAUGGAGGAGUGACUUCACCAACAUCACUCAUAGGUGCUUGUGUCCGUGGUGAGAAGGGUGAUGGAGAGAAGUGGCUGCAGUUCCCACCCAUGGAGAGGUCACUGGUGAAUCCCAGCUAAAGAGGAAGGACAGGCCCGGCCUGAGUCCCACAGGCUUACCAUCUGAGUCCUUCUGAUUGGGAUUGGGUACCAGGCGGCAGUUAUCGGGACCAGGAGGCACAUAAUCUGGGAUGCCAUCAUUGUCAUCAUCCCCAUCACACUCAUCUCCAAGUCCAUCGUUAUCAGAGUCCAGCUGGGAGCUAUUUGGCAGCUGUGGGCAGUUGUCCUUGGUGUCCUGAUGCCCAUCCCCAUCGCUAAUCAGAAGAACAGGUUGGUGAAAGUCCCGAACUUUGUCUCCCCACCCAGAGGACAACUGGCCAGGAAAUCUGCCUGUUUCUUGUCUCACCCUCUAGUCCACACUCUGCCUAACACUACGCCCUACCUCACAUUCCUAUUGACAUCUGCUGCAGAUCACACCCUUGUGAUGGACAAACUGCUCAGUACAGUCCCACCCACCCAGCCUCCUUGUCCUGGGCACGAGGUUUUUGCCUCCCUGAUUUGGAGUAUUUGGCCCUUACUAGAGAGCUGCCAGAUGAGGGACAUUUCCUUCACCUGGAGAAGGAUGGGGAGGAGUCAGCACUUGACAUCUGCCACCCUACCCCAGAAUCAGUGCCACCCUUCGCCAGCCCACCCAAACCUGGUCUCGUAUAUCAUCCCGCAGCUCCACCAGGAUCUGGUUGAAGAGGAACUCAGAGGCUCCUCCCGGCUCACCUGCAUCCUCAAAUACGCCUUCUGUCCAGUCCUAAUCUCCAGCCCAUCGACCUCCGCUGGAGGAAUGGGGGCCAGUGCUGGAAGGCCUGCAUGUUGGUCACCCAGUUUGCAGUCCACGUAGAGAUGUAGGGCAGGGCUGGGUCUGGAGGGACCUCGGAGUCGCAGGAGAACUGUGUGUGUGCGCCCAUCAGCCAGGCCCGCUUGCUGUAGGUUCACGGCGUGGACUUUGCCAUCCUCCCGCUGGUAUCGCACCAGUACUGCCCAGGAGGGGAGAUCAGUAUGGGCGCUAUCCCCCACCCCCUGCCUCCCAGCUGAGCCUUGGAUCAACUCUGCUAGAUACCACAUCUCUAGGGCCCCUAUCCCUAAUUCUACUAUGUGGCUCUCAACACCUUGUAUUUAAUAGGUACACAAUAAAUGUUUUUGAAAUUGC
RNAcentral lists this long non-coding RNA (1630 nucleotides) under Homo sapiens (human). Its description in RNAcentral is "THBS3 antisense RNA 1, transcript variant 4 (THBS3-AS1)". Lineage: Eukaryota; Metazoa; Chordata; Mammalia; Primates; Hominidae. The record is from RNAcentral.